CCAGACUCCUACGGGAGGCAGCAGUGGGGAAUAUUGCACAAUGGGGGGAACCCUGAUGCAGCGACGCCGCGUGGGCGAGGAAGUAUUUCGGUAUGUAAAGCCCUAUCGGCAGGGAAGAAGAAAUGACGGUACCUGAAUAAGAAGCACCGGCUAACUACGUGCCAGCAGCCGCGGUAAUACGUAGGGGGCAAGCGUUAUCCGGAUUUACUGGGUGUAAAGGGAGCGUAGACGGCAUGGCAAGUCUGAUGUGAAAACCCGGGGCUCAACCCCGGGACUGCAUUGGAAACUGUCAGGCUGGAGUGUCGGAGAGGCAAGUGGAAUUCCUAGUGUAGCGGUGAAAUGCGUAGAUAUUAGGAGGAACACCAGUGGCGAAGGCGGCUUGCUGGACGAUGACUGACGUUGAGGCUCGAAAGCGUGGGGAGCAAACAGGAUUAGAUACCCUGGUA
RNAcentral lists this ribosomal RNA (446 nucleotides) under uncultured bacterium. RNAcentral's name for it is "bacterial SSU rRNA". It matches the Rfam family "Bacterial small subunit ribosomal RNA", at positions 331 to 792 of the family's 1533-position model. The record is from RNAcentral.